This 497-nucleotide ribosomal RNA is filed under the name uncultured bacterium. RNAcentral describes it as "partial 16S ribosomal RNA". It matches the Rfam family "Bacterial small subunit ribosomal RNA", at positions 28 to 507 of the family's 1533-position model. The record is from RNAcentral.
GAUGAACGCUGGCGGCGUGCCUAAUACAUGCAAGUCGAGCGAACGGACGAGAAGCUUGCUUUUCUGAUGUUAGCGGCGGACGGGUGAGUAACACGUGGAUAACCUACCUAUAAGACUGGGAUAACUUCGGGAAACCGGAGCUAAUACCGGAUAAUAUUUUGAACCGCAUGGUUCAAAAGUGAAAGACGGUCUUGCUGUCACUUAUAGAUGGAUCCGCGCUGCAUUAGCUAGUUGGUAAGGUAACGGCUUACCAAGGCAACGAUGCAUAGCCGACCUGAGAGGGUGAGCGGCCACACUGGAACCGAGACACGGUCCAGACUCCUACGGGAGGCAGCAGUAGGGAAUCUUCCGCAAUGGGCGAAAGCCUGACGGAGCAACGCCGCGUGAGUGAUGAAGGUCUUCGGAUCGUAAAACUCUGUUAUUAGGGAAGAACAUAUGUGUAAGUAACUGUGCACAUCUUGACGGUACCUAAUCAGAAAGCCACGGCUAACUACGUG